AUGGGGAUCCACCUCCUGGCCUUCGCCUUCGUGCAGGUGUUCCAGGCCUCGGCGCCGCUGCUGUGGCCGCUCAACCUCUGGCUGCCCCGCCACCUCCCCCAGCUCUGCGCCGUCGUCUCCGCCGAGGUCGCCGCCCACGUCGCCUGGCUGCGCCGCGCCCACGCGAGGCGCCGCGACGACGACGACGAGGCCCGCCGCCAGGGGCUGCUCUACACCGUGUACUGA
This 225-nucleotide ribosomal RNA is filed under the name Triticum aestivum (bread wheat). RNAcentral describes it as "partial small subunit ribosomal RNA". Lineage: Eukaryota; Viridiplantae; Streptophyta; Magnoliopsida; Poales; Poaceae. The record is from RNAcentral.